RNAcentral lists this ribosomal RNA (1251 nucleotides) under Bacillus subtilis. RNAcentral's name for it is "partial 16S ribosomal RNA". It matches the Rfam family "Bacterial small subunit ribosomal RNA", at positions 199 to 1437 of the family's 1533-position model. Lineage: Bacteria; Bacillati; Bacillota; Bacilli; Caryophanales; Bacillaceae. The record is from RNAcentral.
CAUAAGAGGUGGCUUCUUGUACCACUUACAGAUGGGACCGCGGCCCAAUAACUAAUUGGGGAGGGAAAGGCUCUACCAGGGCAACAAGCCUAACCCAACUGGAAAGGUGAACCGCCCACCUGGGACUGAAAACCCGGCCAAAAUCCUAACGGAAGGCACCAUAAGGAAUCCUUCGCAAUGGACGAAAGUCUGGACGAAGCAACGCCGCGGAGUGGAUGAAGGUCUUCGAAUCGUAAACUUCUGUUAUUAGGAAAAAACAUACCUGUAAGUAAAUAUGCGCGUCUUGACGGUACCUAAUCAGAAAGCCACGGCUAACUACGUGCCAGCAGCCGCGGUAAUACGUAGGUGGCAAGCGUUAUCCGGAAUUAUUGGGCGUAAAGGGCGCGUAGGCGGUUUCUUAAGUCUGAUGUGAAAGCCCCACGGCUCAACCGUGGAGGGUCAUUGAAAACUGGAGAACUUGAGUGCAGAAGAGGAGAGUGGAAUUCCAUGUGUAGCGGUGAAAUGCGCAGAGAUGGGAGGAACACCAGUGGGAAAGGCGACUUUCUGGUCUGUAACUGACGCUGAGGAGCGAAAGCGUGGGGAGCAAACAGGAUUAGAUACCCUGGUAGUCCACGCCGUAAACGAUGAGUGCUAAGUGUUAGGGGGUUUCCGCCCCUUAGUGCUGCAGCUAACGCAUUAACCACUCCCCCUGGGGAGUACGGUCCCAAGACUGAAACUCAAAGGAAUUGACGGGGGCCCGCACAAGCGGUGGACCAUGUGGUUUAAUUGGAAGCAACGGGAAGACCCUUACCAGUUCUGGACAUCUUUUGACAAUCCUAGAGAUAGGACGUCCCCUUCGGGGGCAGAGUGACCGGUGGUGCCUGGUUGUUGUCAGCUUGGGUUGUGAGAUGUUGGGUUAAGUUCCGCAACGAGCGCAACCCUUGAUGUUAGUUGCCCGCCUUCAGUUGGGCCCUUUAAGGUGGCUGCCGGUGGCAAACCGGAGGAAGGUGGGGAUGACGUCAAAUCAUCCUGCCCCUUAUGACCUGGGCUACCCACGUGGUUCAAUGGACCGAACAAAGGGCAGGGAAACCGCGAGGUUAAGCCAAUUCCACAAAUCUGUUUUCAGUUUGGAUCGCAGUUUGCAACUUGGCUGCCUGAAGCUGGAAUCGGUUGUAAUCGCGGAUCAGCAUGGCGCGGUGAAUACGUUUCCGGGCUUUGUACACCCCGCCCGUCACCCCCCGAGAGUUUGUAACCUCCGAAGUCGGUGUAGGU